AAGCUGUUCUCAUCUCAUCCUGCCAUCUUCACUGUGGAUAAUGAGAGAAGGCCUGAGCCAACACAGCAGUGUUUGUUUCGAGGCAAAACAGGAUGCUAAGGCAGAGCUAUGCCAAAUACUGAGUUCAAAAGAUAAGGGAAAUGUACCAAAAUGAUCGUAAUUUUCCUUCUACCUGACAAAAUUUAUUCUCAGAUGAGCUGAGAUAGCUAUUUAUGCAAGGAAGCAGAUUUUGGACUCAGUCUUUUGUAUCAUAACUUCAGAGACAUUAUUUGACUCCAUUAGCAUCAAACUUAUCUGGAGACACUCUUCUCUCCCUGAAGAUCUAUUGAGGAGGGGAAAGAAUGCAGCCAGGAGAAUUGUUGCAAAUAUCGCCAGGGAGAUUAUCAAAUAACCUUGUUGAAUAACUUUCCUUUGAUACCUCAGCACUUUGGAGGCAGUUGUGGAAAUGUUCACUGUGAAUAUGAAUUGAUGAAGACAAAUUGAUUAACUCUCAGCAUGAGCAGUUUGGGGCCAAUUUUCCUAUCUGGCCAGGUUUAGGAAGAAGUGCUUUAGAGCUGCAAGCAAUUCCUGGAUUUCACCCUGAUGAACAGUAAGGAAGUGUGUGAAGAUUUUUCCUCCUCCUUUGCAGCACGUCCAGGCGAGACAUUUCUGCCCUUAAAGUGCGCAUUCAGGCCUGCUUAAACUUCGCCCAGACAUGGAUGCAGAAGACUUGAGGUCAGAGACCUGCAAGGGGUGAGCAGGGAUGCUAGCCACUUUUAGCUGUUGGUCACCGGAGGAAUCAGACAGGUUCAACACUCCAAGAGUUUUACAAAGAAGCAGUACAUAAUGAGCCGCCUGGAAAAGCCUGUAAGAAGACUGCUCAACCGUGGCCCCAUCUGAUUAAGUCAAAUCUGCCUUACAGCUUUCUACAUAUGUCACAACAGCCGUGAAUUUAUGCAAUUUGGCUUCACCCUUAGGCAAGGAGUGUCAGGUGGGU
Molecule: long non-coding RNA, 976 nt
Organism: Rhineura floridana
Lineage: Eukaryota; Metazoa; Chordata; Lepidosauria; Squamata; Rhineuridae
Exons: 4
Source: RefSeq, a predicted model, not a curated record